Long non-coding RNA from Anas platyrhynchos (mallard), 5703 nucleotides. RefSeq lists it as uncharacterized. The record is from RefSeq and is a predicted model, not a curated record. NCBI's taxonomy places the organism in Eukaryota, Metazoa, Chordata, Aves, Anseriformes, Anatidae.
AUUUGUGGGAAGGGAAACUUGUCCACAGUCCUUGGAAAGGAGUCCAGAAAGACCUAGGUGAUAGAAGAUUAACAAAGUGAAGACCAAACAUCAACUUAUGACAAAACUUUGGAGGAGUUUUCUCUGUUCUAUUGUUCAUGGCCCUGUGGGGAGUCAUAAAUGCCUGUACUAAUACUGGUUGACAAUGAAUACUGGCAAAUAACCAGAACUGAAAAUUAGGCAUGAGAUCUGGAAAAGCCACCUGCACCACUCAUUUCUGCCAGCAAAUCAAGGUCCACUUUUUUCAUGUCCUAAAUGCCCUUGUCCGUGUGCCCUCAGCAUGUGACUGUAUGUAUUAUGUAGAUCCCUAAAUGCGGGGCUGGCUGGCUGUAGGGCUCCAGCUGCCCCGAGGCUUUGAGGCUGGGCUGGGGGGGUGAGCAGUGGGCUGCUGUCAGCAGGGCUUCUCCAGCGGGUCCCUGAAGGACGAUGAAGGAAGAGCAGAGGGCUUUGUCUGAUGGCUUUCCCACAGAGGAUGGCAGGCCCUACCCAGCUGAGACGGGCUUCCCAGCUGGAAACCAAGGCAUCCUCCCCUAGGAGGAGCCAGCAAGGACCAGAGAGGAGUCCCAGGAGGACUGAAUUUACAGUGAUUUUUUUUUCUCAAGCCUUUUGCUCCUCAGGAUAAUAGACACGUGUGUCAUCAAGGGAAAUCCAACACAUUGAGUAGGACUGGUACUAGUCCUACUGUAUGUGCUGAAAGCUUUAGGAAUGAGAAUAGAAACUGCUUCUGCAUCACAGCUGCUGACGGGCCGCCCCUCGCACCUCCCUGCGUGUGCUGGGUUAGCUGCAGCCAACGUCGUGUGGAAACAGCCUCCCAAAAUCCCCAGCCCUGGGUGUGCAUUACCCAGGCCACACAGCAGUCCCUGUGUUUCCUGGCUGAAUGACUUAGUUACGUACCUCGACGUCAAAUAACAGACUGAAGAUUCACUUCUUGGCUGGCUAUGAAAUUUUAAAAUGUUCCUUGAACAAUUUUGCUCAGCUUACCCAAGGAAAAUUCAGGCUCCCACAAAGGGAAUCUGAAAGAACUCCUUAAUUUCUCCACUGUUCAGACAGAGCUAAGCUUUGGUGCAAUAUUACAAGAUCCACAAUCUGUAGGCAAGCUGCUUCCAUGACCACAGAAACUUGCUUGCUUCAUUUGGUAGCUGUGAAAAAAACGUUCCUGCUUCUGGGAAAAAUUGCUCUGAGAAUGACCAGGCAUGGUCAAGCAGGUUGUUGCCAGAUGUGGUGUGUGUUAUAUCAGAUGGGAAUUAAAAAAAAAAAAAUGUUUUUAACAGAAAACAGGUAUGCCAAACAAGAGCAUAAUGUGAAAAUAACAUAAAGGCCCCUUUGUGAGAUUUUAUCUGGCAGUUUGGGGCUUUGUGCACCUUCAUUUUGCUGGAGCUGUAUAUUUAGUUCUCCAAGCAGUGUAAUAAAAAUGCAGCUGUAAUCAAUCAGAUCUUCUUUCUUUAGUUCACUCUCGUUAUUCCCCAAGAGGAAGCUUUACAGUUGCAGGAGCAGCAAAUUAAUUUGUGAGAAUGGCUGUGGUCUCAAAACAUGUCUAGGCAUCACAAACAUGACGAUAGCAAAUGAAAAGUAUUUCCUCCAAGGUCCAGUCUAUAGAUGUUAUAAAUGUUGUAAAAUAUUACAAAUAAGAAAUAAUUAAAACUACUGGUAAGAGCUUGUUCUGUGGCUAGGAACAGGACCAGCACAACUGCAGAAGUUGGAACUGUGUCAAACUAUGCUGGUUGUUUGUACCGUGUAUGUCUUAGCCAAGUGACCUUGCUUAUUUUCACUUGGUGCAUUUCUCUAAUUACCAUAGGUGAAUUGUGGAGACACAGAUUACAAGCCUCUUUCUUACUUUUGCAGCUUGCUGACAGAAAUGGUCUAGUGAGCCCCGGCUCACCCUCUCAAUUUAGCAUGGAAAUUGGAGCUUCCAGCUGAUUAUUGUUGAACGGAGGUGGCAAAGUGACUAAUAAAUGUGGGCAUGGUGUUUGUGAUGGGAGCUGCCGCGGCACAGUGCAGUGGAGCGCCUUGCCUGAAGUUGCUCUGCAAAUCCAUCACAGAGCCUGGAAUGAAAUCCACUGCAUUUGAGCAAUGUGGGAAGUGGCACAGCAGGCAGUAAUGCCUAAUGCACAACAAGCUGAAAAGAAAAUCCAGGAAAACAUGGUUGUUACCUCAGAAAUAAAGGUUUUCAAGUCGCCUCACCCAGCCUUGUCCCUGGAGGAUGUUCAGUGGAGGGAGCUGGGCAUGGGGACGUGGUGCUGGGGUGUUCCCAGGAGAGCCAGGCAGUGUGGCCAGAGCCCCGGGAGCCAGCCCUCGGCACCCCACCACUGCAGCUGCAAGCACCAGAGGUGCGUGAGUACCUGAACUGGGUAUUGAGCUUAGUGCUACCGUGUCAUGCCUUCUAUCAUGUAGGUGGAUAUGCCCAAGGCUUGAGAAAUUAGCAUGUAUUCACUUACAGGUCCAUGAAUAUAUAUUUAUGGGAGAGGAACGGAGCUAAUGGCUUGUUUCCAGGUGUGAAAGAAAUGUGGGGUCCUCUGAAAAAUAUUGGCAUCUUCUAUUCCUUGUAUGGUUUGCUGUCAAAAGCAAAAUAGAGGAUGGAGUCUUGAGACUUAAAACAAGAAAAAUAAUAAGUGAUUGCCUCAUGGAUAGUGACUAAGUUAAGAUGUUUUGGAAAGGGUGAUGAGCUGUAUGUUAGCUGCAAGGUGAGCUAAUCAGGAGAGGGAAUUGGCUGUAGAAGAUGUACACUGAUUAGGUGCUAAAGCAUGUUAACUCAUCAGUUUUGAGCAAAACCCAGAAAGAACGAAAAUUGCACAUGGGAUUGAAAUGCCAAAGCAAUGGAAAGGAGUUUAUAUGUGGAGCUGGGAAGCUUCCAUGAAUAAUCUGCAGAGAAAUGACCACUGACCCUUCUAAAUAAGUCGUCCUUGAUGGGAGAGGAAGCUGAGAUCAUGGCCAGUCCCUGCAGCAAGGGAUCCCAAUCCUGGUCAUAGCUGCCACCCGAGCAGGGGAAGAUCUGGCCGUUGCUCUGCCUUUACUGUUUUGCUCAGGAAAGAACCUGAACAAGCUCCUUAUGGCUCUCGUGCAUAGCUUGUGGCAUGGUGCUAAUGGCUCCACAGCUGGAGAUGGUGUUCUCUGCAGCCUCAGAGACAAGACAAAUGCUCUAGGAGCACUUUUCCAAUAACUUUUUUGAACCAUAACGUGGCUUUGAAAUGGUAUGACUUCAUUUUGUGCUUCUGUCUGAAUACCAGAAUGGCCUUGAAAAGAAUUAUUUUAGUUUAGUUCUCAUUAGUAUGGUUACAUAACUAAAAAUAUUCUAUGGCAAAAUAUUUCAGAGUUUGAACUAGCCAGUCUGGCAUCAGAGGGAACAAAGCCUGUAUUCUGCAGCAGGCAUGUCCAACUGUUUGACAUUAAACACAAACAGCUAUUUUCCAUCUCAGCGUAAAAGCUUAGCAUAUUCUGGGGACUUCCAGCACUUACCAAUCUAUUAAUGUGGUCUGACCCAUACUAAGUUAUUAUAGGGGGGUGGGGGGGGGUCCGUCUCUCUCUUUGAAUACAAAAAAGCCCAAUCCUCUUGCAGACUUUUGCUUUAACUGGAUCUUAUUUCUCUGUUAGCAUGCAUUUCAUUUCUCUUCACUGCUGGGACAUGUAAAGCAGCAAAUCUGCAUGGGGUUAAUGCCUCAGUACACUAAAAAAAGCAGAGGCUGGCAAGGAGGAGUGGGAGAAAGUAGAUCAAGAGAGAGUGCUUUGUUCCAGUUCAAGGGCUUGAAGUAUGAGAGAGCGACUCACGCUGUUAUUGGAGGCUGAAAGAAUUUUGUUAAAGGGAUGGGAUCUGAUUUUAUUUCAGCUUAAAAUUUAGUAUCUCUGCCAACCAACCCAAUAAUGCAGGGAAGACCCUUUCCACAAAUAUUCUCAUGCACAGGCACUUCAUCUCCUGCCACACACUAUUUCAGACGGAUGUGAUAGGAAAUCUGUACUGCAAAAUUAAAACUUUCUUGAAAUACUGAAGAUAUGCAACACUCAAAUCACUAAAAUCUCAGUGCUCCUUACUGUGGACAUCAUUCACAACCAAUCACUUUUGCCUUUUGCUGAUAGAUAUAUCAAACUUUCUUGGUUGUGAUAUUGAUCAAAUUCCCUUCUCCUCUCAAGAAUGCAGCAGCUCUGAAACUACACUAGAGCAGGAGAGUUAUUUCUUGCUUCUCUUACACCUGCAGCCUACUUUGUAGAUCUCCAGUCCGAUUUAAUGCAGCAUCACAUUUUGUUUCCUUGUGGGCAGACAUUAGGAAGACUCGGGGAGAAGGGGAGUGAGGUUUUCACUUUCUAGGAAAGGCCUGAAAUAACUGGGGAGGUCUGAAAUACACCAAGAGCUUUAAUGGAAGGUAACUCCACUGCAGGAGCUGGUGUUGCCCAGGCUGUCCCAAAUGUCUGUGUGCCAGGCUGUGCGUGUGUGUGCACGUGGGGGUGACCGGCACAGAGCCGGAGGCACCACAAGAGCCGAGGCUCCGCGGGCACGGGGCCACCAGCCCCAGCGCCAGCAGCACCAAGGAGGGGAUGCAGCUGCUGCAGGGGCUGUGGCAGGGGGAAUCGGCAGAAAUAGCAAGGCUAGCGCCCGGCUUCCUGAGCGGAGAAGAAACUUGACACAGAGGAGGCUGAGGGAUCUGGCGUCUGUAAUACGAAAACUACCAGAACUUUCUCAAGAGCCGUGGUUUUGUUUGCUUGCUCGCUGCUGGGGACGGGGAGCAGUUCGGGCUUGGCAGAGCAGAAGACUUGUCAUCUUCUCAUUUUCAUAUACUUCAGUACUUUGUAAUCUUGGCAAAAGCAAGGUGCUGAAGGGGGUCUGUUCUUGAGUUUCCAAUUCUUAUAUUUCCAAUGUUGAUUAAACAAGAAAAUCUCCUACAAGCCUCUUCUUGUUAGAUUCUUCAGUCCUAUUUCGAGAUCAAAUGGGCUUUAAAACAGGUCUGGAUAAGCUCACAAGCUUAAUCUACUUGAAAGGUAGAAUGAUUGGGUAACAUGCUAGACGUGACAAUAGAUCAUUCUGUGUAUCGCAGGUAGCGCUCCUGUCCUCUGGAGAUAUUCCCCGUCAUGUCUGGAGAGUGCCUGGGACACAAAUGUUCUGCAGUUGCUGUACCAUUUGCACAGCACAGUUGUACCUGAAGGCAGUUGUUUAAUGGAAACAUUCAGUUUGCAUUUUCUGCCACUAAUACUUUAGUGGGAUCAACAUUAUUGAGGCUAAUUAGAAUUCAGCGAGAACUGAUUGUUCAUUAGAGAGAGAAAAAAAUGUUCCAUGGAGCCCUGGGUUUGGUAGAACUAUUUCACAUAAUUAAGCAAUUCCACAUCUUGGCAUUUUAUCCCUCUUGUUAUCAUUGCACUUUGUUAAUAAGUUUUUAAUUGCAAAUUAUCUCUAUGACACAAAUUACACUGUGUUUACUGAUCAGCAAAAAUGCCAUGAUAACCAGCUUGGAUGCCAAGUCCUUCGAAAAUACUAGCUGCCAAGUUCUCUCCCUUACGUAGUUUGGCAUUAAAAUAUCUUCAGGUUACUUAAAAUAUAUUGACUUCCAGUUUAAAGUGUUAUGGACUAUACAGUUUCUUGGCUAAGGCUCCAGGAAUAGGGGAACAAUAGCUUACAUAACCAAAAGAAGCUUAGUUGCAGUGUUGCAAGUUGUUCCUGUUUCUCUGAUGUUCUGGAUUAUG